This 509-nucleotide ribosomal RNA is filed under the name uncultured Stenotrophomonas sp. RNAcentral describes it as "bacterial SSU rRNA". It matches the Rfam family "Bacterial small subunit ribosomal RNA", at positions 8 to 507 of the family's 1533-position model. The record is from RNAcentral. Lineage: Bacteria; Pseudomonadati; Pseudomonadota; Gammaproteobacteria; Lysobacterales; Lysobacteraceae.
AGAGUUUGAUCCUGGCUCAGAGUGAACGCUGGCGGUAGGCCUAACACAUGCAAGUCGAACGGCAGCACAGGAGAGCUUGCUCUCUGGGUGGCGAGUGGCGGACGGGUGAGGAAUACAUCGGAAUCUACUUUUCGUGGGGGAUAACGUAGGGAAACUUACGCUAAUACCGCAUACGACCUACGGGUGAAAGCAGGGGAUCUUCGGACCUUGCGCGAUUGAAUGAGCCGAUGUCGGAUUAGCUAGUUGGCGGGGUAAAGGCCCACCAAGGCGACGAUCCGUAGCUGGUCUGAGAGGAUGAUCAGCCACACUGGAACUGAGACACGGUCCAGACUCCUACGGGAGGCAGCAGUGGGGAAUAUUGGACAAUGGGCGCAAGCCUGAUCCAGCCAUACCGCGUGGGUGAAGAAGGCCUUCGGGUUGUAAAGCCCUUUUGUUGGGAAAGAAAAGCAGUCGGUUAAUACCCGAUUGUUCUGACGGUACCCAAAGAAUAAGCACCGGCUAACUUCGUG